Molecule: non-coding RNA, 128 nt
Organism: Ovis aries (sheep)
Lineage: Eukaryota; Metazoa; Chordata; Mammalia; Artiodactyla; Bovidae
Source: Rfam
UUUUAAAUCUCUCCCUCUCUCUCUCUCUCUCUCAUAUAUAUAUAUAUAUAUAUGUAUAUAUAUAUAUAUAUAUACAUAUAUAUAUAUAUAUAUAUGAGAGAGAGAGAGAGAGAGGGAGAGAUUUAAAA